This 70-nucleotide transfer RNA is filed under the name Vibrio sp. RNAcentral describes it as "tRNA-Phe". It matches the Rfam family "tRNA". Rfam says of the family: Transfer RNA (tRNA) molecules are approximately 80 nucleotides in length. Lineage: Bacteria; Pseudomonadati; Pseudomonadota; Gammaproteobacteria; Vibrionales; Vibrionaceae. RNAcentral also lists the same sequence under 2 other names. The record is from RNAcentral.
CAUUAAGUAGCUCAGAGGUAGAGCAGCGAAGAAAUUUCGUGAGUCAUGGGUUCGAAUCCCAUCUUAAAUG